UCGAACGGACUUAACUCAUUCUUUUAGAUUGAGAGCGGUUAGUGGCGGACCGGUGAGUAACACGUAAGCAACCUGCCUAUCAGAGGGGAAUAACAGUGAGAAAUCAUUGCUAAUACCGCAUAAGCUAGUAGUAUCGCAUGAUAUAGCUAGAAAAGGAGCAAUCCGCUGAUAGAUGGGCUUGCGUCUGAUUAGCUAGUUGGUGGGGUAACGGCCUACCAAGGCGACGAUCAGUAGCCGGACUGAGAGGUUGAACGGCCACAUUGGGACUGAGAUACGGCCCAGACUCCUACGGGAGGCAGCAGUCGGGAAUAUUGCGCAAUGGAGGAAACUCUGACGCAGUGACGCCGCGUAUAGGAAGAAGGUUUUCGGAUUGUAAACUAUUGUCGUGAGGGAAGAAAUUGACAGUACCUCAGGAGGAAGCUCCGGCUAACUAUGUGCCAGCAGCCGCGGUAAUACAUAGGGAGCAAGCGUUAUCCGGAUUUAUUGGGUGUAAAGGGUGCGUAGACGGGAAAUUAAGUUAGUUGUGAAAUCCCUCGGCUUAACUGAGGAACUGCAACUAAAACUGAUUUUCUUGAGUACUGGAGAGGAAAGUGGAAUUCCUAGUGUAGCGGUGAAAUGCGUAGAUAUUAGGAGGAACACCAGUGGCGAAGGCGACUUUCUGGACAGUAACUGACGUUGAGGCACGAAAGUGUGGGGAGCAAACAGGAUUAGAUACCCUGGUAGUCCACACUGUAAACGAUGGAUACUAGGUGUAGGAUGUAUUAAGCAUUCUGUGCCGCCGCUAACGCAUUAAGUAUCCCACCUGGGGAG
Molecule: ribosomal RNA, 810 nt
Filed under: uncultured bacterium
Lineage: Bacteria
Description: bacterial SSU rRNA
Rfam family: Bacterial small subunit ribosomal RNA
Source: RNAcentral